RNAcentral lists this ribosomal RNA (916 nucleotides) under Medicopsis romeroi. RNAcentral's name for it is "eukaryotic LSU rRNA". It matches the Rfam family "Eukaryotic large subunit ribosomal RNA", at positions 33 to 964 of the family's 3401-position model. Lineage: Eukaryota; Fungi; Ascomycota; Dothideomycetes; Pleosporales; Neohendersoniaceae. The record is from RNAcentral.
CUUAGCAUAUCAAUAAGCGGAGGAAAAGAAACCAACAGGGAUUGCCCUAGUAACGGCGAGUGAAGCGGCAACAGCUCAAAUUUGAAAUCUGGCUCUAUUUUGGAGUCCGAGUUGUAAUUUGUAGAGGGCGCUUUGGCGUCGGCAGCGGUCUAAGUUCCUUGGAACAGGACGUCACAGAGGGUGAGAAUCCCGUAUGUGGUCGCGUGCCUUCGCCGUGUAAAGCCCCUUCGACGAGUCGAGUUGUUUGGGAAUGCAGCUCUAAAUGGGAGGUAAAUUUCUUCUAAAGCUAAAUACUGGCCAGAGACCGAUAGCGCACAAGUAGAGUGAUCGAAAGAUGAAAAGCACUUUGGAAAGAGAGUCAAAAAGCACGUGAAAUUGUUGAAAGGGAAGCGCUUGCAGCCAGACUUGCCUGCGGUUGCUCAUCCGGGCUCUCGCCCGGUGCACUCUUCCGUAGGCAGGCCAGCAUCAGUUUGGGCGGCUGGAUAAAGGCCUCUGUCAUGUACCUUCCCUCGGGAAGGCCUUAUAGGGGAGGCGUAAUGCAGCCAGCCUGGACUGAGGUCCGCGCAUUUGCUAGGAUGCUGGCGUAAUGGCUGUAAGCGGCCCGUCUUGAAACACGGACCAAGGAGUCUAACAUCUAUGCGAGUGUUUGGGUGUCAAGCCCGGGCGCGCAAUGAAAGUGAACGGAGGUGGGAACCCUUUGCGGGGUGCACCAUCGACCGAUCCUGAUGUCUUCGGAUGGAUUUGAGUAAGAGCAUAGCUGUUGGGACCCGAAAGAUGGUGAACUAUGCUUGAAUAGGGUGAAGCCAGAGGAAACUCUGGUGGAGGCUCGCAGCGGUUCUGACGUGCAAAUCGAUCGUCAAAUUUGGGCAUAGGGGCGAAAGACUAAUCGAACUAUCUAGUAGCUGGUUCCUGCCGA